This is a long non-coding RNA of Diabrotica virgifera virgifera (western corn rootworm), 1726 nucleotides long. RefSeq lists it as uncharacterized. NCBI's taxonomy places the organism in Eukaryota, Metazoa, Arthropoda, Insecta, Coleoptera, Chrysomelidae. The record is from RefSeq and is a predicted model, not a curated record. The transcript is spliced from 2 exons.
GAUGAGUUACUACUAUCGUUACUAAAAUGUUAUUCCGAUGGGAACUAGGUAUGCAACCAACUUUACAAGCACUCGUAUUAGAGGUUGCAGUUGAUAGACGAUAAAGUUGGUAAUAUCUGGUAGAUUAGAGUCUAGCAGUUGGCAAUGACGAUAUCCGGCAGGGGUGUAUGUCAUAUCGGCCAUAGCGGCUGGCACUUCACUUGAAUUUUCGUUCUUGUCCGAUCAAAAAGUCCUCCGGUGGCCAUUGUAAGAAUUUACCUUUUUGUUGAAAUAAGUUAUAAGAAGAUUAAUUUACGUUGGAGGAAGUUUUUAUUUUUUUGUUUGGGGUUGUGAAGAGUUUUUGGUUCCAAUAUUUUUUGAAGAAAACAAUGGGUAUGUAUGAAAAAAAAUAUCACUUAACUAUGGUUUGCCAUUUCUUUUUCAUGCUAAGAAAAAAUAACCAUCUAAAUCAUUUUUAAUACCAUAUUUAGAUCAUAUGAAAAGCAUUGCUAUUCUUUAAUUAUCACUUUUUCAAUACUUCUAAUAUACACUCACAGGAAAAAAUAUUCUUAGAACUACAUUUUCACUCUCAAAUAAAUUGAAAAUCAAUGAUAAUUUUCAUUCUAUCAUGUAUAUAACUCCAUAUAGUAAUCUUUGAUUACAAGAUCCACAUUUUUUUUGUCCAAAUACUUCCUUAUAUUCGUUUAAAAAGGCUUUUUCCAGUCAAGAAGAAUCAAGGUCAAUGAAAACAUAUACAUCAAACCUCACUUUUUCCGUAUUUUUUUCUCUGUCAAGUUCUGAUAAGGUGAAACACCUUUUUAUAGAGGCCCUGUUUCUUAGAUACUUAAGGAAAACCAGCUAAUAGAAGGUUUUCUGUUCUUUUAGCCACUGGAGGGAGACUAUAACAAAAUUUAAGUCACAUUUGGAUGCUUCAUUUAUUUAUGGAAUAAACAAUCAUUUUGGUAUUAUUUUGGGUUUGGAUUGGAAGAGUUUUGGAUGUUUUUUUUUCGUUUCUGGAAUAGACACUGAGUUCUACCGACACUAGCAAGUACCUCCUCGUCAAUACUCUGUGUUGCUGUUCCUUACCUCCCGAGGAUUGGGAAGAUCGGAGGAUACGUACCUGGCUCUCUCAUCAUCAACCUCACCAGGAUUUUGGAGAAGCCACAGGCCUACUUUUGUAGAAACGCCAGGUUUUUAUAAUAAAAUUUGAAUUUUCAAUCCUUUUAAAUAAUAGUUUUCAAUUUUCAAUUUUUUUUCAAUAACUCAAAUACAUAACCUUAAUAAUAAUAUAAAUUCACCUUCUUAAACCAUAUUAUCUUUAUAAUAUUCAAUAAUUUUUUUUUGUCAACGAAUUUUAUAUUUCAUUUUCAUGAUUGUAUCAGGUAUUUAAAAUAAUCUCAGGAUUGUAAACUAUCUGGGACGAUACUGUGCACACUAUCGAAGGGUUUAUUUCCUACUCAAUAAUAUUUAUUCCAUUCACCAGAUAUUGUCAGGUUGUCACUUCCGAUCAGAUACGGGAUUGUCAGCCAAUCUUGUAUUCUACAGUAAUAAUUAGUUUGUACAUGCAUAUUUAGAUCAAAUCACUUCCUUAGUAGAAUAAAUUCAUUACGUAUAUUAGUUUUUUCAUACUGUAAAACCUGCAUUAUCGACAGGAGUGUACUACCAUAGUACGUCGGAUAUUUAGCUAGUGUAUAAAAUUGUAUAUAGGGUUUAUAGGUAUUUUUUUUAUUAAAUGUGGUUGUACAUA